CCUACGGGAGGCAGCAGUGAGGAAUAUUGGUCAAUGGGCGCGAGCCUGAACCAGCCAAGUCGCGUGAGGGAAGACGGUCCUAUGGAUUGUAAACCUCUUUUGUCGGGGAGCAAAAGACGCCACGCGUGGCGUUCCGAGAGUACCCGAAGAAACAGCAUCGGCUAACUCCGUGCCAGCAGCCGCGGUAAUACGGAGGAUGCGAGCGUUAUCCGGAGUUAGUGGGGUUAAAGGGUGCGCAGGCGGAAGAUCAAGUCAGCGGUAAAAUUGAGAGGCUCAACCUCUUCGAGCCGUUGAAACUGGUUUUCUUGAGUGAGCGAGAGGUAUGCGGAAUGCGUGGUGUAGCGGUGAAAUGCAUAGAUAUCACGCAGAACUCCGAUUGCGAAGGCAGCGUACCGGCGCCCAACUGACGCUGAAGCACGAAGGCGUGGGUAUCGAACAGGAUUAGAUACCCUUGUAGUC
This 459-nucleotide ribosomal RNA is filed under the name uncultured bacterium. RNAcentral's name for it is "partial 16S ribosomal RNA". It matches the Rfam family "Bacterial small subunit ribosomal RNA", at positions 338 to 795 of the family's 1533-position model. The record is from RNAcentral.